RNAcentral lists this ribosomal RNA (620 nucleotides) under Herminiimonas sp. Ri2Ps_4878. Its description in RNAcentral is "bacterial SSU rRNA". It matches the Rfam family "Bacterial small subunit ribosomal RNA", at positions 395 to 1008 of the family's 1533-position model. The record is from RNAcentral. Lineage: Bacteria; Pseudomonadati; Pseudomonadota; Betaproteobacteria; Burkholderiales; Oxalobacteraceae.
UGCCGCGUGAGUGAAGAAGGCCUUCGGGUUGUAAAGCUCUUUUGUCAGGGAAGAAACGGUGAGGGCUAAUAUCCUUUGCUAAUGACGGUACCUGAAGAAUAAGCACCGGCUAACUACGUGCCAGCAGCCGCGGUAAUACGUAGGGUGCAAGCGUUAAUCGGAAUUACUGGGCGUAAAGCGUGCGCAGGCGGUUAUGUAAGUCAGAUGUGAAAUCCCCGGGCUCAACCUGGGAAUGGCAUUUGAGACUGCAUGGCUAGAGUGUGUCAGAGGGGGGUAGAAUUCCACGUGUAGCAGUGAAAUGCGUAGAGAUGUGGAGGAAUACCGAUGGCGAAGGCAGCCCCCUGGGAUAACACUGACGCUCAUGCACGAAAGCGUGGGGAGCAAACAGGAUUAGAUACCCUGGUAGUCCACGCCCUAAACGAUGUCUACUAGUUGUCGGGACUUAAUUGUCUUGGUAACGCAGCUAACGCGUGAAGUAGACCGCCUGGGGAGUACGGUCGCAAGAUUAAAACUCAAAGGAAUUGACGGGGACCCGCACAAGCGGUGGAUGAUGUGGAUUAAUUCGAUGCAACGCGAAAAACCUUACCUACCCUUGACAUGUACGGAACCUCUGAGAGAUU